GCCUACGGCCAUACCACCCUGAGAACGCCCGAUCUCGUCUGAUCUCGGCAGCUAAGCAGGGUCGGGCCCGGUUAGUACUUGGAUGGGAGACCGCCUGGGAAUACCGGGUGCUGUAGGCUUAA
This 122-nucleotide ribosomal RNA is filed under the name Calypte anna (Anna's hummingbird). The record is from RNAcentral. Lineage: Eukaryota; Metazoa; Chordata; Aves; Apodiformes; Trochilidae.